GGCGGACGGGUGAGUAACGCGUUGGGAAUCUACCCAUAGUGGGGGACAACUACCGGAAACGGUAGCUAAUACCGCAUACGCCCUAUGGGGGAAAGGCUUCGGCCGCUAUUGGAUGAGCCCGCGUCAGAUUAGCUAGUUGGUAGGGUAAAGGCCUACCAAGGCAACGAUCUGUAGCUGGUCUGAGAGGACGAACAGCCACACUGGGACUGAGACACGGCCCAGACUCCUACGGGAGGCAGCAGUGGGGAAUAUUGGACAAUGGGCGAAAGCCUGAUCCAGCAAUGCCGCGUGUGUGAAGAAGGCCUGCGGGUUGUAAAGCACUUUCAGUUGGGAAGAUGAUGACGUUACCAACAGAAGAAGCACCGGCUAAAUCCGUGCCAGCAGCCGCGGUAAUACGGAUGGUGCGAGCGUUAAUCGGAAUUACUGGGCGUAAAGCGCGC
This 440-nucleotide ribosomal RNA is filed under the name uncultured Pseudomonadota bacterium. RNAcentral's name for it is "bacterial SSU rRNA". It matches the Rfam family "Bacterial small subunit ribosomal RNA", at positions 97 to 570 of the family's 1533-position model. The record is from RNAcentral. Lineage: Bacteria; Pseudomonadati; Pseudomonadota.